AUUGAACGCUGGCGGCAUGCUUUACACAUGCAAGUCGAACGGCAGCGCGGGGCAACCUGGCGGCGAGUGGCGAACGGGUGAGUAAUAUAUCGGAACGUACCCGGAAGUGGGGGAUAACGUAGCGAAAGUUACGCUAAUACCGCAUACGAUCUACGGAUGAAAGUAGGGGACCGCAAGGCCUUAUGCUUUUGGAGCGGCCGAUAUCUGAUUAGCUAGUUGGUGAGGUAAAGGCUCACCAAGGCGACGAUCAGUAGCUGGUCUGAGAGGACGACCAGCCACACUGGAACUGAGACACGGUCCAGACUCCUACGGGAGGCAGCAGUGGGGAAUUUUGGACAAUGGGCGCAAGCCUGAUCCAGCAAUGCCGCGUGAGUGAAGAAGGCCUUCGGGUUGUAAAGCUCUUUUGUCAGGGAAGAAACGGUAGAGGCUAAUAUCCUUUGCUAAUGACGGUACCUGAAGAAUAAGCACCGGCUAACUACGUG
RNAcentral lists this ribosomal RNA (482 nucleotides) under uncultured bacterium. Its description in RNAcentral is "partial 16S ribosomal RNA". It matches the Rfam family "Bacterial small subunit ribosomal RNA", at positions 30 to 507 of the family's 1533-position model. The record is from RNAcentral.